GACCACCCUGAAGGGCACCGCGAUCCCAGUGCGGUCGGUGGUGGCCUCCCCUCGCCAGGUGAAGGGGAAAGCGGGCCGGGAGACGGCCAGGCUGCGGCUCCAGCACCUGCCCGCGGCUCAGGCCGAGCACCCGGGAGAGGCGGCGGCGGCAGAGGAGGAGGAGCCCCUUCUGCCAGUGCCUGAGGAUGAAGAGGAGGCGCAGCCCCUGCCCCCAGUCUGCGUGUCCCGUAUGAGGGGGAUGUGGCGGGACGAGAAGGUGUCGCUGUAUUGCGACGAAGUGCUGCAGGACUGUAAGUACAGACGGGGUUUCUCCAGUUGGUCAGGGUGGACUCGAACUCCCGACCUCAGGCAGAAGAUGCUGAUGAAGUUAUGGGUAAAUACCUAUCAGAAAAAUUAAAGUUGAAAGACCAAUGGCUUGGAGUCUGGAAGACUAAUCCCAGUGUAUUCUUUGUGAAAUAUGAAGAAGCUUCUAUCCCUUUUGUUGGUAUACUGGUUGAGGUAACUUGUGAGCCAUACCAAGACUCAUCAUCUCGUUUCAAAGUUACCGUUUCUGUUGCUGAGCCCUUUUCUUCCAACAUUGCAAAUAUUCCAAGAGAUUUGGUUGAUGAGAUUUUGGAGGAACUGGAACACAGUGUGCCUCUUUUGGAAGUGUAUCCUGUUGAGGGACAAGAUACUGAUAUACAUGAUAUUGCUUUGGCCUUGGAAGUUGUCAGGUUUUUUUAUGACUUUCUUUGGAGAGACUGGGAUGAUGAAGAAAGUUGUGAGAAUUAUACUGCACUUAUUGAAGAAAGAAUUAAUUUGUAAGUAUAGUUUAUAAACUUAUACCGCACAUUAGAAAAAAUAAACAUUGUAAUUAUGUUGAUAAUUUUCAGGUGGUGUGAUAUACAGGAUGGAACAAUACCUGGUCCUAUCGCACAACGUUUUAAAAAAACUUUGGAGAAAUAUAAAAACAAACGUGUCGAGCUCAUUGAGUAUCAGAGCAAUAUUAAAGAAGAUCCAUCUGCAGCAGAGGCUGUUGAAUGCUGGAAAAAAUACUAUGAGAUAGUCAUGCUCUGUGGAUUAUUGAAAAUGUGGGAAGAUUUACGCCUCCGAGUUCAUGGACCUUUCUUUCCAAGAAUUCUGAGGCGUAGGAAAGGAAAAAGAGAAUUUGGAAAGACUAUAACACAUAUUGUAGCAAAAGUGAUGACUACUGAAAUGAUAAAGGAUUUAUCUUCAGACACACUUCUCCAACAGCAUGAUGAUUUGGAUUUGGCUUUGGAUAAUUGUUAUAGUGGAGAUACAGUAAUAAUUUUUCCAGGAGAAUAUCAAGCUGCAAAUCUUGCUUUGUUGACAGAUGACAUCAUUAUAAAGGGAGUUGGAAAGAGAGAGGAAAUUAUGAUUACUUCUGAACCUUCUCGUGACAGUUUUGUGGUGUCCAAAGCUGACAAUGUGAAACUAAUGCAUCUAUCUUUGAUACAACAAGGGACGGUUGAUGGUAUUGUGGUGGUGGAGUCUGGUCACAUGACUCUAGAAAACUGCAUAUUAAAAUGUGAAGGAACAGGAGUGUGUGUUCUUACUGGAGCUGCUUUGACAAUUACAGACAGUGAAAUAACUGGUGCCCAGGGUGCUGGUGUUGAACUGUAUCCUGGAAGCAUAGCUAUUUUGGAAAGAAAUGAAAUUCAUCACUGUAAUAACCUCAGAACCAGUGACAGUUCAAAAAGCACCUUAGGUGGAGUUAAUAUGAAGGUUCUUCCAGCACCCAAAUUGAAGAUGACUAAUAAUCAUAUUUAUAGCAACAAAGGCUAUGGAGUAAGCAUUCUUCAACCAAUGGAACAGUUUUUUAUCGUAGCAGAAGAAGCUCUCAACAAAAGGGCUUCUUCAGGAGAUAAAAAAGAUGAUAAAAUGCUCUUCAAAGUAAUGCAAAAUCUGAAUCUGGAAAUGAAUAAUAAUAAGAUAGAAGCAAACGUCAAGGGGGAUAUCAGAAUAGUCACAAGUUAAAGUGUCCGAAUUGAUGUUAAAGUUUUAUAUUUCACAAAUUUGUUUAAUAAAUGAUUCUCAUAUCCCACUGAAAUGGUAGUUUCAAUUCAAAGCUUAAUUAAAAAAUAUUUAAAUAUCA
Molecule: small RNA, 2095 nt
Filed under: Pongo abelii (Sumatran orangutan)
Lineage: Eukaryota; Metazoa; Chordata; Mammalia; Primates; Hominidae
Description: processed transcript
Source: RNAcentral